RNAcentral lists this non-coding RNA (77 nucleotides) under Planktothrix serta PCC 8927. Lineage: Bacteria; Bacillati; Cyanobacteriota; Cyanophyceae; Oscillatoriales; Microcoleaceae. The record is from RNAcentral.
AGGAGCCGGAUGAGGUGAAAGUCUCAAGUCCGGUUCUGAAGACGAGCAGUAAUCGUGAGGUUAUUGCUUAGUUUAAC